UACAGAGGGUGCAAGCGUUGUUCGGAAUUAUUGGGCGUAAAGGGCGCGUAGGCGGUGCCACAAGUCACCUGUGAAAUCUCCGGGCUUAACCCGGAACGGUCAGAUGAUACUGCUUUGCUAGAGUGCGGAAGGGGCAAUCGGAAUUCUUGGUGUAGCGGUGAAAUGCGUAGAUAUCAAGAGGAACACCUGAGGUGAAGACGGGUUGCUGGGCCGACACUGACGCUGAUAGCGCGAAAGCCAGGGGAGCAAACGGG
This 254-nucleotide ribosomal RNA is filed under the name uncultured bacterium. RNAcentral describes it as "partial 16S ribosomal RNA". It matches the Rfam family "Bacterial small subunit ribosomal RNA", at positions 524 to 776 of the family's 1533-position model. The record is from RNAcentral.